This 253-nucleotide ribosomal RNA is filed under the name uncultured bacterium. RNAcentral describes it as "partial 16S ribosomal RNA". It matches the Rfam family "Bacterial small subunit ribosomal RNA", at positions 524 to 776 of the family's 1533-position model. The record is from RNAcentral.
UACGUAGGGAGCAAGCGUUGUCCGGAAUCAUUGGGCGUAAAGCGCGCGUAGGUGGCCUCAUAAGUCCGUUGUGAAAGUCAAAGGCUCAACCUUUGAAAGCCGAUGGAUACUGUGAGACUAGAGUACGGAAGAGGCGAGUGGAAUUCCUGGUGUAGCGGUGGAAUGCGCAGAUAUCAGGAGGAACACCAGUAGCGAAGGCAGCUCGCUGGGACGUUACUGACACUGAGGCGCGAAAGCGUGGGGAGCGAACAGG